This 61-nucleotide transfer RNA is filed under the name Shigella sp. RNAcentral describes it as "tRNA-Met". It matches the Rfam family "tRNA", at positions 7 to 64 of the family's 71-position model. From Rfam's summary of the family: Transfer RNA (tRNA) molecules are approximately 80 nucleotides in length. Their secondary structure includes four short double-helical elements and three loops (D, anti-codon, and T loops). Lineage: Bacteria; Pseudomonadati; Pseudomonadota; Gammaproteobacteria; Enterobacterales; Enterobacteriaceae. The record is from RNAcentral.
GUGGAGCAGCCUGGUAGCUCGUCGGGCUCAUAACCCGAAGAUCGUCGGUUCAAAUCCGGCC